UUUUCCUCGNGUGUAAGGAGCCGAGAGAAUAAGGGGAGGGCAAGCCUGGUGUCAGCCGCCGCGGUAAUACCAGCUCCCCGAGUGGUGAGGAUGUUUAUUGGGCCUAAAGCGUUCGUAGCCGGUUUGGUAAGUCUCCCGUCAAAUCUACCGACUUAAUCGGUAGGCUGCGGGAAAUACUGCUAGACUAGGAGGCGGGAAAGGUCGGCGGUAUUCCCGGGGUAGGGGUAAAAUCCUAUAAUCCUGGGAGGACCACCAGUGGCGAAGGCGGCCGACCAGAACGCGCUCGACGGUGAGGGACGAAAGCUGGGGGAGCGAACCGGAUUAAAUACCCGGGUAGUCCCAGCCGUAAACGAUGCGGGCUAGGUGUUGGUACGGCUACNUGCCGUUUCAGUGCCGCAGGGAAGCUGUUAAGCCCGCCGCCUGGGGAGUACGGCCGCAAGGCUGAAAUCUAUGGAGU
RNAcentral lists this ribosomal RNA (457 nucleotides) under uncultured bacterium. Its description in RNAcentral is "bacterial SSU rRNA". It matches the Rfam family "Archaeal small subunit ribosomal RNA", at positions 408 to 865 of the family's 1478-position model. The record is from RNAcentral.